Molecule: ribosomal RNA, 460 nt
Filed under: uncultured bacterium
Lineage: Bacteria
Description: partial 16S ribosomal RNA
Rfam family: Bacterial small subunit ribosomal RNA
Source: RNAcentral
CCUACGGGAGGCAGCAGUGAGGAAUAUUGGUCAAUGGACGCAAGUCUGAACCAGCCAUGCCGCGUGCAGGAAGACGGCUCUAUGAGUUGUAAACUGCUUUUGUACGAGGGUAAACGCAGAUACGCGUAUCAGUCUGAAAGUAUCGUACGAAUAAGGAUCGGCGAACGCCGUGCCAGCAGCCGCGGUAAGACGGAGGAUUCAAGCGUUAUCCGGAUUUGUUGGGGUUAAAGGGUGCGUAGGCGGUCGGAGAAGUUAGAGGUGAAAUCCCGAGGCUCAACUUCGGAAUUGCCUCUGAUACUGUUCGGCUAGAGAGUAGUUGCGGUAGGCGGAAUGUAUGGUGUAGCGGUGAAAUGCUUAGAGAUCAUACAGAACACCGAUUGCGAAGGCAGCUUACCAAGCUACUUCUGACGUUGAGGCACGAAAGCGUGGGGAGCAAACAGGAUUAGAUACCCCAGUAGUC